UAGGCCUGGGUUAAUAUCACAUCUAGUCGGUUGGAAUUUGGAUCCAGAAAGCCUAAAGUGGAGCUAAUCUGCUUUAAGCCAUACUGAGGAGGAGGAGAUCUUGCAGGACGACCGAAAUGUACUUGCUGUCGCUGCCACUAUUCUUACCCGACUCCGUUUCUUUUUACGUUUUGUUUGAUUUUAUUGAAAAAUAAGCGAACAGAGAGAGCCAAAAAGGAGGCGAUCAAGGACGCAGGUCGUGUGGCGGAUCUACUGGUGGAAGCAGUGAACAGAGUAGUGUAAGAGCUGUUCAUCAACGAGAAGCGAAUCGAGCUAGAGAUUCGUGCAUUAGCGGCCACGAUUAUGCAGUUCAUUAAGCAUACUGAUCAUUGGCUCGCUGCCUCUAACACCAUCAACACUGCUUUUAAGGAAAUAGGAGACUUUGAGAACUGGAUGAAGACAAUGGAAUUUGAUUGUAGAAGCAUCAAUGCGGCAACUCGCAACAUACACCAAGAAUGAAUAACGACGGAGUCCCGGCCAGAAACAGCUAGAAUAUCUGCACAGGAAACAACUCUAGGGCAAAGAGCCUCCAGCUGAGAUUUAAUGGUGUCUAAUGGCAUCAAAACCCCGCAAAGAAUCAGCAUUUGGACCAGCUGACUUCUCUCUAGUGAAGUUUGAAGUGUCAUCCAAUAGCCGCCACACGCCUCGCGUCCUUCUGUAAUUUAGCAAGUAAUUGACUAAACUCAUAAAUCGGACAAGCCCAUGGACAUUUUUUUUUUUGGUGAUUUGAACUUUGAUAUUCAGUGUAGUGGAGCAACUUUGUCUCUGCGUUGUUGAAUGUGGAGGGAUUGAGAUUGUUAUUGUCUAAGACAUAGUGUAGUGACUUUAUCACCAAGCCUGCGCAGGAUCGAGAAUCAUAGUUUUUUUUUUUUUU
Long non-coding RNA from Tripterygium wilfordii, 913 nucleotides. RefSeq lists it as uncharacterized. Lineage: Eukaryota; Viridiplantae; Streptophyta; Magnoliopsida; Celastrales; Celastraceae. The transcript has 3 exons. The record is from RefSeq and is a predicted model, not a curated record.